Molecule: microRNA precursor, 103 nt
Filed under: Marmota monax (woodchuck)
Lineage: Eukaryota; Metazoa; Chordata; Mammalia; Rodentia; Sciuridae
Source: RNAcentral
AAUGGGAUAGCUGGGUCAAAUAGUGGUUUCAUUCCAAGUUUUCUGAGGAAUCUCCCCAUUGCUUUCCAGAUUGGCUGCACCAAUUUGCAAUUCCAUCAGCAAU